This is a long non-coding RNA of Anneissia japonica, 769 nucleotides long. RefSeq lists it as uncharacterized. The record is from RefSeq and is a predicted model, not a curated record. NCBI's taxonomy places the organism in Eukaryota, Metazoa, Echinodermata, Crinoidea, Comatulida, Comatulidae. The transcript is spliced from 2 exons.
GAAGGAGUACCAUCGACAGAGGAUCAAAGGUACAGACCUCCUCGCCGCGAUCGUCAUAUCUCACCAGUUACGUAACCGUAAUUAACAAUAGAUAAGCUGUAAUCGGUAACCGCGCAUGCGCCAGUAUCUGUCAACAACCAAGCCACAACAAAUCACUCGGGGCAACAAGAAGCCAAGUUACGACUUUCGAGAUCGUGCUGAAAAUAUGGAUGACAUGACUGAUGCUAUCGACUUUUAUGAAUUAUAAGAUGAGUUAGAUGAUGAAAUUCUCAAAGAAUUGGAGGCAGCAAAUGAACUAGAAGACCAAGAAAAUGACGUUGAUAGACCAGCAAAUAAAUUUUCUGAAGAUGAUGCCAUCAAAGGGAUGAAGGGCUACAUUCAAUUGGCUUUGACGUCACUGAUGAAGUAGUUGACAAGUAGUUGACAAGUUCAAUGCUAUGGUAACUACAAACCAUCUUGAUGUUUUGCUGAACAACAUUGUUGAUAAAGUAACUGUACAAACAUAUUGGUGCAGAAUAACAAGGGCUACUCUUUGUGACGCUGCAUCGAAGCAACUACUUGAUAUUGUAGUGAAGUACUGGAUUAAUUAAAAUUAGAGCCAAUGCUUUUUUGAAAGUAUAUCUGAAUGUAAAGAGGGAAAGUGGUAAGAUUUCAAAAAAGGGAGAAAAAUCUCUAAGGAAGGAGCUGCAAUAAUAUGCCAUAUCUGGGUUUUGUAUAAUAAUGAAUACAUUAUUUUUGGAAAUAAAUAUGCAGGUGAUGUUUUACAGUA